GAUGAAGAACGUAGCGAAAUGCGAUAAGUAGUGUGAAUUCCAGAAUUCAGUGAAUCAUCGAAUCUUUGAACGCACAUUGCGCCCCUUGGUAUCCCGAGGGGCAUGCCUGUUCGAGCGUCAUUUCUCCACUCAAGCCUGGCUUGGUGUUGGGCGACGUCCUCUUUGGGGACGCGCCUCGAAACGCUCGGCGGCGUGGCACCGGCUUUAAGCGUAGCAGAAUCUUUCGCUUUGGAAGUCGGGGCCCCGUCUGCCGGAAGACCUGCUCGCAAGGUUGACCUCGGAUCAGGCAGGGAUACCCGCUGAACUUAAGCAUAUCAAUAAGCGGAGGA
Molecule: unclassified non-coding RNA, 329 nt
Filed under: soil metagenome
Description: partial contains 5.8S ribosomal RNA, internal transcribed spacer 2, and large subunit ribosomal RNA
Rfam family: 5.8S ribosomal RNA (bases 1-120)
Source: RNAcentral